Non-coding RNA from Ictidomys tridecemlineatus (thirteen-lined ground squirrel), 620 nucleotides. NCBI's taxonomy places the organism in Eukaryota, Metazoa, Chordata, Mammalia, Rodentia, Sciuridae. The record is from RefSeq and is a predicted model, not a curated record.
GAAGCUCCGGCUGAGGUUUUGCUGUGCACCACGGGCGCCUGUGUGAGAAUAAAUCCUCCUGCUGUUUGCAUCCAGUGUCUCGCGUGGUCCAUUCCGGGUUGGGGGAUCUGGGGGUCUCUCAUUUGGGGGCUCGUCCGGGAUCACUGGUUCAGCCCAGACCCAAAUCCGGAGGACACUCAACAUCACUGGGAGACUUAUUUAUGUGCCUUGCAAUUGGUCCAGAACGAGGUCUGAAAGCCUCUAGCCGAAGCAUACAAAGAGGAACUCAAAACCCCAUCGCUGCCACAUCCCUUCAAAGUUGGAGACACUGUCUAGGUACGCAGGCACCAGAGCAAGAACCUCGAACUGCGGUGAAAAGGACCCUACUCUGUUCUGCUGACCACUCCUACCACAAUCAAGGUGGAUGGCAUCACCACUUGCAUCCACGCUUCCCACGUGAAGGCUGCACAUCCACAGGAGUCCGCAGACACCCCUCCGGAUUCAGAAUGGAAGUUGCAACGCACCCAGAAUCCGCUAAAGAUAAGACUCACUCGCUGUUGAUUUUUCUUACCUUGUAUUCUUUAUUCCCCCUAUUGAAUGCAAGCCCCCAUGUGACCACUACUGAGAGGUUAGCCAAGGGA